UACGAAGGGGGCAAGCGUUGUUCGGAAUGACUGGGCGUAAAGGGCGCGUAGGCGGUUCGUUGCGUCAGAUGUGAAAGCCCCGGGCUCAACCUGGGAACUGCAUUUGAUACGGGCGAGCUUGAAUCCAAGAGAGGGUGGUGGAAUUCCCAGUGUAGAGGUGAAAUUCGUAGAUAUUGGGAAGAACACCAGUGGCGAAGGCGGCCACCUGGCUUGGUAUUGACGCUGAGGCGCGAAAGCGUGGGGAGCAAACAGG
RNAcentral lists this ribosomal RNA (253 nucleotides) under uncultured bacterium. Its description in RNAcentral is "partial 16S ribosomal RNA". It matches the Rfam family "Bacterial small subunit ribosomal RNA", at positions 524 to 776 of the family's 1533-position model. The record is from RNAcentral. RNAcentral also lists the same sequence under 2 other names.